Molecule: non-coding RNA, 104 nt
Filed under: Pseudoramibacter alactolyticus
Lineage: Bacteria; Bacillati; Bacillota; Clostridia; Eubacteriales; Eubacteriaceae
Also listed under: 1 other name
Description: Glycine sequence
Rfam family: Glycine riboswitch aptamer
About the family: This family represents the bacterial glycine riboswitch.
Source: RNAcentral
UUGACAGGCUCUGGAGAGUCCCUUAAAUGGGCGCCGAAGGUGUAAGCGCGACGCGGGUUGAAGCGAUCGCGUGAUCUCUCAGGCAAACGGACAGAGUGAAUCCU